Molecule: ribosomal RNA, 375 nt
Filed under: uncultured bacterium
Lineage: Bacteria
Description: bacterial SSU rRNA
Rfam family: Bacterial small subunit ribosomal RNA
Source: RNAcentral
UAAUACGGAGGGUGCGAGCGUUGUCCGGAAUCACUGGGCGUAAAGGGCGCGUAGGCGGCCUGAUAAGUAGGGGGUGAAAUCCUGCGGCUUAACCGCAGGGCUGCCUUCUAAACUGUCAGGCUCGAGCACAGUAGAGGCAGGUGGAAUUCCCGGUGUAGCGGUGGAAUGCGUAGAGAUCGGGAAGAACAUCAGUGGCGAAGGCGGCCUGCUGGGCUGUUGCUGACGCUGAGGCGCGACAGCGUGGGGAGCAAACAGGAUUAGAUACCCUGGUAGUCCACGCCGUAAACUAUGGGUGCUAGCCGUCGGGGAGCAUGCUCUUCGGUGGCGCAGCAAACGCAUUAAGCACCCCGCCUGGGGAGUACGGUCGCAAGAUUA